RNAcentral lists this ribosomal RNA (1761 nucleotides) under Pratylenchus thornei. RNAcentral describes it as "SSU rRNA". It matches the Rfam family "Eukaryotic small subunit ribosomal RNA". Lineage: Eukaryota; Metazoa; Nematoda; Chromadorea; Rhabditida; Pratylenchidae. The record is from RNAcentral.
UGCUUGUCUCAAAGAUUAAGCCAUGCAUGUAUAAGUAUAAACGCUUUAAGCGUGAAACUGCGUACGGCUCAUUACAACAGCAAUAAUUUACUUGAUCUUGACAACCUACAUGGAUAACUGUGGUAAUUCUAGAGCUAAUACAUGCACCAAAGCUCCGACCCGCGAGGGGAGAGCGCAUUUAUUAGAACAAAACCAAGCGGCUUCGGCCGUCCAUUGUUGACUCAGAAUAACUAAGCUGAUCGUACGGUCUUGUACCGACGACGUGUCUUUCAAGUUUCUGCCUUAUCAACUUUCGAUGGUAGUGUAUCUGACUACCAUGGUGGUGACGGGUAACGGAGGAUAAGGGUUCGACUCCGGAGAAGGGGCCUGAGAAAUGGCCACUACGUCUAAGGAUGGCAGCAGGCGCGCAAAUUACCCACUCUCAAUGCGAGGAGGUAGUGACGAGAAAUAACGAGGCCGUUCUCUUUGAGGCCGGUCAUCGGAAUGGGUACAAUUUAAACCCUUUAACGAGUAUCUAUGAGAGGGCAAGUCUGGUGCCAGCAGCCGCGGUAAUUCCAGCUCUCAAAAUGCAUAGAAUUAUUGCUGCGGUUAAAAAGCUCGUAGUUGGAUCUGUGCCUGUGCUCCGGUCCACCUCGCGGUGCGCACUGGGUGUCACAGGCUUUCCUGCAGUGUUCAGCCCCGGCGCCUUCACCGGCACCGGUGUGUUGAUGCUGCAAGUUUACUUUGAACAAAUCGGAGUGCUCCAAACAGGCGUUUGCUUGAACGUUCGUGCAUGGAAUAAUAGAAGAGGAUUUCGGUUCAAUUUUAUUGGUUUUAUUGGCCGAGAUAAUGGUUAACAGAGACAAACGGGGGCAUUUGUAUUGCUGCGUGAGAGGUGAAAUUCUUGGACCGUAGCAAGACAAACUACCGCGAAAGCAUUUGCCAAGAAUGUCUUCAUUAAUCAAGAACGAAAGUCAGAGGUUCGAAGGCGAUCAGAUACCGCCCUAGUUCUGACCGUAAACGAUGCCAACUAGCGAUCUGCCGAUGGAACACCAUUGCCAUGGUAGGGAGCUUCCCGGAAACGAAAGUCUUCCGGUUCCGGGGGAAGUAUGGUUGCAAAGCUGAAACUUAAAGGAAUUGACGGAAGGGCACCACCAGGAGUGGAGCCUGCGGCUUAAUUUGACUCAACACGGGGAAACUCACCCGGCCCGGACACCGUAAGGAUUGACAGAUUGAUAGCUUUUUCAUGAUUCGGUGGAUGGUGGUGCAUGGCCGUUCUUAGUUCGUGGAGCGAUUUGUCUGGUUUAUUCCGAUAACGAGCGAGACUCUGGCCUACUAAAUAGUCCGCACAUUGCCUCUGUGCGCAGGACUUCUUAGAGGGAUUUUCGGUGUUCAGCCGCACGAAAUUGAGCAAUAACAGGUCUGUGAUGCCCUUAGAUGUCCGGGGCUGCACGCGCGCUACACUGGCAAAAUCAGCGUGCUUGUCCUUCCCCGAAAGGGGUUGGUAAACCCUUGAAAAUUUGCCGUGAUUGGGAUCGGAAAUUGCAAUUAUUUUCCGUGAACGAGGAAUUCCAAGUAAGUGCGAGUCAUCAACUCGCGUUGAUUACGUCCCUGCCCUUUGUACACACCGCCCGUCGCUGCCCGGGACUGAGCCAUUUCGAGAAACUUGGGGACUGCUGGCUUGGUCGGGCUUCGGCUCGCCUCGUUGGUGGAAACCAAUUUAAUCGCAGUGGCUUGAACCGGGCAAAAGUCGUAACAAGGUAGCUGUAGGUGAACCUGCAG